GAUGAACGCCGGCGGUGUGCCUAAUACAUGCAAGUCGAGCGCACUGGCCCAACUGAUAUGACGUGCUUGCACUGAUUUGACGAUGGAUUACCAGUGAGCGGCGGACGGGUGAGUAACACGUGGGCAACCUGCCCCAAAGCGGGGGAUAACAUUUGGAAACAGGUGCUAAUACCGCAUAACUCCGAAAACCACAUGGUUUUCGGAUAAAAGAUGGUUUCGGCUAUCACUUUGGGAUGGGCCCGCGGUGCAUUAGCUAGUUGGUAAGGUAACGGCUUACCAAGGCAAUGAUGCAUAGCCGAGUUGAGAGACUGAUCGGCCACAAUGGAACUGAGACACGGUCCAUACUCCUACGGGAGGCAGCAGUAGGGAAUCUUCCACAAUGGGCGCAAGCCUGAUGGAGCAACACCGCGUGAGUGAAGAAGGGUUUCGGCUCGUAAAACUCUGUUGUUGAAGAAGAACGUGCGUGAGAGUAACUGUUCACGCAGUGACGGUAUUCAACCAGAAAGUCACGGCUAACUACGUGCCAGCAGCCGCGGUAAUACGUAGGUGGCAAGCGUUAUCCGGAUUUAUUGGGCGUAAAGCGAGCGCAGGCGGUUACUUAGGUCUGAUGUGAAAGCCUUCGGCUUAACCGAAGAAGUGCAUCGGAAACCGGGCGACUUGAGUGCAGAAGAGGACAGUGGAACUCCAUGUGUAGCGGUGGAAUGCGUAGAUAUAUGGAAGAACACCAGUGGACUCCAUGUGUAGCGGUGGAAUGCGUAGAUAUAUGGAAGAACACCAGUGGGCAACUGACGCUGAGGCUCGAAAGCAUGGGUAGCGAACAGGAUUAGAUACCCUGGUAGUCCAUGCCGUAAACGAUGAGUGCUAGGUGUUGGAGGGUUUCCGCCCUUCAGUGCCGCAGCUAACGCAUUAAGCACUCCGCCUGGGGAGUACGACCGCAAGGUUGAAACUCAAAGGAAUUGACGGGGGCCCGCACAAGCGGUGGAGCAUGUGGUUUAAUUCGAAGCUACGCGAAGAACCUUACCAGGUCUUGACAUCUUGCGCUAACCUAAGAGAUUAGGCGUCCCCUUCGGGGACGCAAUGACAGGUGGUGCAUGGUCGUCGUCAGCUCGUGUCGUGAGAUGUUGGGUUAAGUCCCGCAACGAGCGCAACCCUUGUUACUAGUUGCCAGCAUUCAGUUGGGCACUCUAGUGAGACUGCCGGUGACAAACCGGAGGAAGGUGGGGACGACGUCAGAUCAUCAUGCCCCUUAUGACCUGGGCUACACACGUGCUACAAUGGCCGGUACAACGAGCAGCUAACCCGCGAGGGUGUGCAAAUCUCUUAAAGCCGGUCUCAGUUCGGACUGCAGUCUGCAACUCGACUGCACGAAGUCGGAAUCGCUAGUAAUCGCGGAUCAGCAUGCCGCGGUGAAUACGUUCCCGGGCC
Molecule: ribosomal RNA, 1425 nt
Filed under: uncultured bacterium
Lineage: Bacteria
Description: bacterial SSU rRNA
Rfam family: Bacterial small subunit ribosomal RNA
Source: RNAcentral